UGGAAAGGCGCGCGAUACAGGGUGACAGCCCCGUACACAAAAGCGCAUGUGCUGUGAGCUCGAUGAGUAGGGCGGGACACGUGGUAUCCUGUCUGAAUAUGGGGGGACCAUCCUCCAAGGCUAAAUACUCCUGACUGACCGAUAGUGAACCAGUACCGUGAGGGAAAGGCGAAAAGAACCCCGGCGAGGGGAGUGAAAAAGAACCUGAAACCGUGUACGUACAAGCAGUGGGAGCACAGGUUUACCUGUGUGACUGCGUACCUUUUGUAUAAUGGGUCAGCGACUUAUAUUCUGUAGCAAGGUUAACCGUAUAGGGGAGCCGAAGGGAAACCGAGUCUUAACCGGGCGUUAAGUUGCAGGGUAUAGACCCGAAACCCGGUGAUCUAGCCAUGGGCAGGUUGAAGGUUGGGUAACACUAACUGGAGGACCGAACCGACUAAUGUUGAAAAAUUAGCGGAUGACCUGUGGCUGGGGGUGAAAGGCCAAUCAAACCGGGAGAUAGCUGGUUCUCCCCGAAAGCUAUUUAGGUAGCGCCUCGUGAAUUCAUCUCCGGGGGUAGAGCACUGUUUCGGCUAGGGGGCCAUCCCGGCUUACCAACCCGAUGCAAACUGCGAAUACCGGAGAAUGUUAUCACGGGAGACACACGGCGGGUGCUAACGUCCGUCGUGAAGAGGGAAACAACCCAGACCGCCAGCUAAGGUCCCAAAGUCAUGGUUAAGUGGGAAACGAUGUGGGAAGGCCCAGACAGCCAGGAUGUUGGCUUAGAAGCAGCCAUCAUUUAAAGAAAGCGUAAUAGCUCACUGGUCGAGUCGGCCUGCGCGGAAGAUGUAACGGGGCUAAACCAUGCACCGAAGCUGCGGCAGCGACGCUGAUGCGUUGUUGGGUAGGGGAGCGUUCUGUAAGCCUGCGAAGGUGGCCUGUGAGGGUUGCUGGAGGUAUCAGAAGUGCGAAUGCUGACAUAAGUAACGAUAAAGCGGGUGAAAAGCCCGCUCGCCGGAAGACCAAGGGUUCCUGUCCAACGUUAAUCGGGGCAGGGUGAGUCGACCCCUAAGGCGAGGCCGAAAGGCGUAGUCGAUGGGAAACGGGUUAAUAUUCCCGUACUUGGUGUUACUGCGAAGGGGGGACGGAGAAGGCUAUGUUGGCCGGGCGACGGUUGUCCCGGUUUAAGCGUGUAGGUGUGUGUUCCAGGUAAAUCCGGUUCACUUUAACACUGAGGCGUGACGACGAGGCACUACGGUGCUGAAGCAACAAAUGCCCUGCUUCCAGGAAAAGCCUCUAAGCAUCAGGUAACAUCAAAUCGUACCCCAAACCGACACAGGUGGUCAGGUAGAGAAUACCAAGGCGCUUGAGAGAACUCGGGUGAAGGAACUAGGCAAAAUGGUGCCGUAACUUCGGGAGAAGGCACGCUGACACGUAGGUGAAGUGAUUUACUCAUGGAGCUGAAGUCAGUCGAAGAUACCAGCUGGCUGCAACUGUUUAUUAAAAACACAGCACUGUGCAAACACGAAAGUGGACGUAUACGGUGUGACGCCUGCCCGGUGCCGGAAGGUUAAUUGAUGGGGUCAGCGCAAGCGAAGCUCCUGAUCGAAGCCCCGGUAAACGGCGGCCGUAACUAUAACGGUCCUAAGGUAGCGAAAUUCCUUGUCGGGUAAGUUCCGACCUGCACGAAUGGCGUAAUGAUGGCCAGGCUGUCUCCACCCGAGACUCAGUGAAAUUGAACUCGCUGUGAAGAUGCAGUGUACCCGCGGCAAGACGGAAAGACCCCGUGAACCUUUACUAUAGCUUGACACUGAACAUUGAGCCUUGAUGUGUAG
This 1814-nucleotide ribosomal RNA is filed under the name Salmonella enterica. RNAcentral's name for it is "partial 23S ribosomal RNA". It matches the Rfam family "Bacterial large subunit ribosomal RNA", at positions 343 to 2141 of the family's 2925-position model. Lineage: Bacteria; Pseudomonadati; Pseudomonadota; Gammaproteobacteria; Enterobacterales; Enterobacteriaceae. The record is from RNAcentral.